RNAcentral lists this ribosomal RNA (460 nucleotides) under uncultured bacterium. Its description in RNAcentral is "partial 16S ribosomal RNA". It matches the Rfam family "Bacterial small subunit ribosomal RNA", at positions 338 to 795 of the family's 1533-position model. The record is from RNAcentral.
CCUACGGGUGGCAGCAGUGAGGAAUAUUGGUCAAUGGACGAGAGUCUGAACCAGCCAAGUAGCGUGCAGGAUGACUGCCCUAUGGGUCGUAAACUUCUUUUAUACAGGAAUAACACCAUGCACGUGUGCCUUUUUGCAUGUACUUUAUGAAUAAGGAUCGGCUAACUCCGUGCCAGCCGCCGCGGUAAUACGGAGGAUCCGGGCGUUAUCCGGAUUUAUUGGGGUUAAAGGGAGCGUAGAUGGGUUGUUAAGUCAGUUGUGAAAGUUUGCGGCUCAACCGUAGAAUUGCAAUUGAUACUGGCAGUCUUGAGUACAGUUGAGGUAGGCGGAAUUCGUGGUGUAGCGGUGAAAUGCUUAGAUAUCACGAAGAACCCCGAUUGCGAAGGCAGCUUACUAAACUGUGACUGACACUGAUGCUCGAAAGUGUGGGUAUCAAACAGGAUUAGAUACCCCAGUAGUC